UGCAGUCGAACGCGAAAGCACUUCGGUGCAAGUAGAGUGGCGAAAGGGCGAGGAAUACAUUCCUAACGUGCCUCAAGGUCAAGGAUAGUUCAGGGAAACUUGGAGUAAUACUUGAUAACCCCACCGGACCUAUGGCCUGGUGGGCAAAGGCUUGCUGCCUUGAGAUCGGGGAAUGUGCUAUCAGCUUGUUGGUGAGGUAAUGGCUCACCAAGGCGAAGACGGCUAGCGGGUGUGAGAGCAUGACCCGCCGCAUCGGGACUGAGACACUGCCCGGACUCCUACGGGAGGCUGCAGUAACGAAUCUUCCGCAAUGCGCGAAAGCGUGACGGAGCAAUGCCGCGUGUGGGAUGAAGCUCCUCGGAGUGUAAACCACUGUCAGGGGUCAGAAACACAAUGAUCAGCCCCAGAGGAAGGGCCGGCUAACUCUGUGCCAGCAGCCGCGGUAAUACAGAGGGCCCGAGCGUUAAUCAGAAUCACUGGGCUUAAAGGGUGCGUAGGCGGCAAUGAAAGUGUCUUGUGAAAUCCCACCGCUCAACGGUGGAACUGCUUGGCAAACUUCAUUGCUUGAGGUUGGUAGAGGCUGCCGGAACCAUAGGUGGAGCGGUGAAAUGCGUAGAUAUCUAUGGGAACGCCAAAGGAGAAGUCAGGCAGCUGGGCCAAAUCUGACGCUGAGGCACGAAAGCGUGGGUAGCGAACGGGAUUAGAUACCCCGGUAGUCCACGCCGUANACGAUGUGUACUAGAUUCGGGAGAUUCUGACAUCAUCCGAGUCGAAGCGAAAGUAAUUAGUACACCGCCUGGGGAGUACGGUCGCAAGGC
Molecule: ribosomal RNA, 818 nt
Filed under: uncultured marine bacterium
Lineage: Bacteria
Description: bacterial SSU rRNA
Rfam family: Bacterial small subunit ribosomal RNA
Source: RNAcentral